Molecule: long non-coding RNA, 295 nt
Filed under: Podarcis lilfordi (Lilford's wall lizard)
Lineage: Eukaryota; Metazoa; Chordata; Lepidosauria; Squamata; Lacertidae
Source: RNAcentral
AUUAUUAUUAUUAACAUUAUUACUAGCAGUUCCAGUCAGGAAGAGUGCUAGAAUCAGAUCUAAGUACAGCCUCAAUCAACUCACACAUGACCGCAUAUAUAUGUGGCACCAGGAAAUAAAUAAAUACAUUCAACUCCUGCAGAAUGCUGGAGAGUCCUAGUGGCUUGCAAGGAGACUGUCCCUGGAGCCCAAAGAGGGCAUCAGUGAGGGCAAAGGAAGCCCUGAAGAGACUGGAGGCACAGCGCGGCUUUGUUUAGGCUGCUCAGCCUCCUUGCCUAACAGCUGACGUGUGGGG